RNAcentral lists this long non-coding RNA (292 nucleotides) under Capsicum annuum. Its description in RNAcentral is "long non-coding RNA (CANN_LNC000554)". Lineage: Eukaryota; Viridiplantae; Streptophyta; Magnoliopsida; Solanales; Solanaceae. The record is from RNAcentral.
CUGCGGCUAAUAGGAACGAGUUACAAAUAUUCCCAUGGGAUAUCCCAUGUUAUUUGCCGUGGCCAUUCCCCUGGCCAAGGCCAUAUCCAUGCCCUCCUCCACGGCCACGACCAUGUCCACCACCUCCACGACCACGCUCUCCCCCACCUCCACCACCGUCCCCAUCCCCGCCUCCUCCUGCCCCGACAACGAGCUGCUCGGCUAGUGACAAAGAAAAGGUGAAGACGUGCAUGUUCAACACAACUUCAAUUGAUGCAUGUUGUCCGACAUUCAAGAGCAUACUUGGCACUAG